AGUGGACGCUGGCGGUAGGCCUAACACAUGCAAGUCGAACGGCAGCACAGUAAGAGCUUGCUCUUACGGGUGGCGAGUGGCGGACGGGUGAGGAAUACAUCGGAAUCUACUUUUUCGUGGGGGAUAACGUAGGGAAACUUACGCUAAUACCGCAUACGACCUACGGGUGAAAGCAGGGGAUCUUCGGACCUUGCGCGAUUGAAUGAGCCGAUGUCGGAUUAGCUAGUUGGCGGGGUAAAGGCCCACCAAGGCGACGAUCCGUAGCUGGUCUGAGAGGAUGAUCAGCCACACUGGAACUGAGACACGGUCCAGACUCCUACGGGAGGCAGCAGUGGGGAAUAUUGGACAAUAGGCGCAAGCCUGGUCCAGCCAUACCGCGUGGGUGAAGAAGGCCUUCAGGUUGUAAAGCCCUGUUGUUGGGAAAGAAAAGCAGCAGGUUAAUACCCCGCUGUUCUGACGGUACCCAAAGAAUAAGCACCGGCUAACUUCGUG
RNAcentral lists this ribosomal RNA (492 nucleotides) under uncultured bacterium. RNAcentral describes it as "partial 16S ribosomal RNA". It matches the Rfam family "Bacterial small subunit ribosomal RNA", at positions 29 to 507 of the family's 1533-position model. The record is from RNAcentral.